Anopheles coluzzii is the source of this 1699-nucleotide long non-coding RNA. RefSeq lists it as uncharacterized. The transcript has 2 exons. NCBI's taxonomy places the organism in Eukaryota, Metazoa, Arthropoda, Insecta, Diptera, Culicidae. The record is from RefSeq and is a predicted model, not a curated record.
CAUGCGACUUUUCGCUAACGGAUUGAUUUAAUGGCGCCCGAUUAGACGAUCCGAUAGAAGCACUUUUCAGGCUUAACGGAUUGAGCGAGAUACACCGUCGCGGCGACACGAUACAUGUUGCAUACAUGUGUACUAUAUUUUAAGAGCCCCCCUCGCUUUCUUUCGGAUUGCAAUGUGUUCAGACACACUUAAAACUUCGUUUAACAGAUUUUAUAUUCGUUUUUUAUUUUUCACUUUCUUUUCUGAAGUACAUUCUUUCAUACACACAUCCUCCCCCAGGUAUUUUUCAAAGAUUUUUCGACGAAACUAAAAAAAAAACUAACGCACACAACUAGAUCCGCGAGAGAGUGCGAAUCGGCAAAGAGCCUUUCUACAUACAGCGAGAAUGCUGCUGAGAAAUAACUGACAGCAUGCUUUGACAGCGACUGACAGCAUUUUCGGUGAGAGAAUUCUCCUCGGCAUGCAAAGAACGAUGGAGCUGAGAAAAAUUGAAUUGGCAGUUUAUAGCGAUCGAUCAAUUAUAGUUUGCAUUUUGCCGUCUAAUAAUCGUAGAUAUAUUAUUAAAAAGUAAAAGAAAUUUUUUUGGCUUCAUUUUAGCGAUUGAAAUGGAUUUUUUCAACAUCAUUUUAAAAGUCUCAUCUCGGCGCUUUUCAGAGAGCUUCUACACACACCAGCGUGAGAAACCGGUUGUCAAUUCUCUCCCGCUUGGCAAAGAGUAACUCAUUUUGAUGCCUCUCGCUACCCCUGGCCUUAGUUUUAAAGGAAUCAUGCGACACACUCGCACUCCACUACCCCAUCCCAUGGAAAAACGCUCCCACCAUCGAGGUGUUGACCAAAAUUUCGCUAUGUGCAUGAGACACACACUCGCACUCCUCCAGCCCUCCACAGCUGAACGCUCCCACCGUUGCGAAGUUUGCGAGAAUUUUUGCUCUGAGCGUGAGAUCCUGAAGCACCAGAGAUGACACUAUGUGUAAAGACGAUCAUAAUUCGGUAUGGUCAAAAUGCGUCGAUUGUCGUUUCAUUUAUCUGGUAAUGAUGUAUUCACUUCAUCAAAAUUUUAAACGUUCACAACUAGACUGAUAACAAUAUUUGAAUUUUUAAUCAGAAUAAAACCAAUUCAUUUGAAGCAAAAUAAAUUCCAUUAUACUUUAUUUUGACCAUAUGAUCAACACUUGUACAUAGUGCCAUUUACUUUGUGUUCUUCACUCUCGCGCUGUGUUUUGAUCGUUCGAAACUCAUUGCCAGAACGAAUGCAAAUUUCAUAUGGGAAUGAUCGGUGCCGGAAGAGGCAGCGAAAAUUAUGAAAUGAUAAUAGAAAAGUGGUUAAGUUAAUCGUGAAAGAUGUCAACGCAGACGUAAAUGUAGUAUGUUUUGUUACAUGAUCUACGGCUAUUUCAUUACCAAAGCUCCUGAUAACAGAUCAAAGCAGAUGGAUCGGGCAUACAGAGUCGCCGUUUAAUUUAAAAUAUCUGCGUGAUCGGUAAGUUUUAAAUAGUACUAGUUUUGUUCACCAUUCUAAUGCUCGAUUUAUCUUUCAUUCCUCAAGCAAACGCAUCAAACAGCAAGUGUUUUUCCUUCCAACAGCACGCACCAUCGGUGGUGCAGCAGCUAACGUUUUGUUCGCCUAGCGCGCACCAUCAAGAAUUGAUAUUUUGCCAAACAGUACUGUGAAUAAAAAACUGCACACUUACUGUAGGAA